AAGUGAAAGUGCACACUAAUCUUUUUUUAAACAUUUUAUAAUACCAAAACUUUCCAAAUUAACCACAUAUGCUCUUCCAGUCCCACCUCUAACUCUCCCUGAAAUAAUCCCUCUGAAUUAAUAUAUUUCUUAACCUAAAACACUGUUAAACAAUUAUUAGUUCCUCAGUAAUACUAAAAAUCAGAGGAAAACAGCAUCAUUAGUAUAAUAGCUUAAAAUUAUAACCUUUCAACACAGUACAGGGUUUAGUGUUACAAGUUAUUUCCAAUUUAAUUGAUGGACUGAAUUAUGAAACUGAACAGGGCACUCAUCUACAACACUAGACACUCUGAGCUGACACGGAGUCUGAUCAAACUAAUACUGUAAAUGAUUAAGAAAAUGUACAACAAUAUUUUUAGGAAAUCUAUUCAGUCUAGAGAAUAUAAUUUCCUUUACAAAGAGUAUCAAAUAUAUGAACAUAAAAUGCUAUUUAUUCC
RNAcentral lists this long non-coding RNA (476 nucleotides) under Bos taurus (domestic cattle). RNAcentral describes it as "long non-coding RNA NONBTAT022189". Lineage: Eukaryota; Metazoa; Chordata; Mammalia; Artiodactyla; Bovidae. The record is from RNAcentral.